Long non-coding RNA from Mytilus californianus (California mussel), 738 nucleotides. RefSeq lists it as uncharacterized. The transcript has 2 exons. Lineage: Eukaryota; Metazoa; Mollusca; Bivalvia; Mytilida; Mytilidae. The record is from RefSeq and is a predicted model, not a curated record.
CCCAGUGGCGGAUCCAGAAAUUUCCCCCCUAUAAUGUGUCAAAUAUUUGAUUACAAUCCAAAUUCAGACCUAUAUCAAACUUGAAUAUUGUGUUCAUUUUUACCCCAACUGUUCAGGGUUCGUUUCCAGCUUUGCUUGGGAAACCGUUUAUUGAAGUUUAUUUUGCUUUUUGACAGAAAAUUUAUCCAUUGCCAAGGUACAUUGAAAGGUUUUUCUUUUAUUAAAAUCUGCACAUAUAUUUAUAUUAAUUUUUUAUAAGCUUAACUGUUGAUCUUCUUUCUGUUGUUUGCUUACAUUUUGUUUCAAUUCACUCAAAAGUAAAAGUAUAUAGUAAAGGUAUAAAUUAGUGAGCAUCAAUUCAUACUACAUGUAGUUUUUGUCUGGACUUCUUGAUUAAAUUAUUUAUAUAUACAAUUUUAGCUUGUUACCAAAUGAAAGGAAAGUACAGUAUUGACAAUGAUUGAUAUCACUGGUGAACAUGUAUGUCAUGUAGGUGUGAAUGUCCUGCAAAAAAGAACUGAUAUCAAAUUACCAUUCACAGUGAACAUGGUGAAGAAUAACCAAUACCAUGAAUACAGGACAUAGAAGACUACCUCACAAAUAUGGGAAUUUUACAAAAAAUACAACAUUUUAAUUUACAAAGAAGACAUUUAUUUUGACAUUCAUGGACUUUGAAAGUAAAGAAAUUAGAAUGUGAAUAAAAAUCCUUGGAAAUAAAAUUUUGAACUUUGAAGAAAA